ACUCCUACGGGAGGCAGCAGUGGGGAAUCUUGGACAAUGGGGGCAACCCUGAUCCAGCCAUGCCGCGUGAGUGAUGAAGGCCUUAGGGUCGUAAAGCUCUUUCGCCUGUGAUGAUAAUGACAGUAGCAGGUAAAGAAACCCCGGCUAACUCCGUGCCAGCAGCCGCGGUAAUACGGAGGGGUUAGCGUUGUUCGGAAUUACUGGGCGUAAAGCGCGCGUAGGCGGAUUAGUCAGUUAGAGGUGAAAUCCCAGGGCUCAACCCUGGAACUGCCUUUAAUACUGCUAGUCUUGAGUUCGAGAGAGGUGAGUGGAAUUCCGAGUGUAGAGGUGAAAUUCGUAGAUAUUCGGAGGAACACCAGUGGCGAAGGCGGCUCACUGGCUCGAUACUGACGCUGAGGUGCGAAAGUGUGGGGAGCAAACAGGAUUAGAUACCCUGGUAGGAUAGCG
Molecule: ribosomal RNA, 447 nt
Filed under: uncultured bacterium
Lineage: Bacteria
Description: bacterial SSU rRNA
Rfam family: Bacterial small subunit ribosomal RNA
Source: RNAcentral